CGCCUCCCAAGACUCCAUUGGAUGGUGUUGUAGUAUAUGGAGUAGUGAUUGUUGGUGUGGCGUUGGAUGGGGUGGCGUUUGAAGGUGUGGUGGUAGAUGGAUUUGUGGUGACUGGAGUUGGAGUAGUUGUGCUAGUCCCUGCAGCACUGACGGUAGCCGGAUAAGAACAGCCACUAUAACUAGGAUCAGAUGUAGAAAUGGUAGUUGUGCCUGCAAAAUCACAAGAGCCUUGAGCUUGGCCCUUCUUUUGGAAAU
Molecule: unclassified non-coding RNA, 255 nt
Filed under: Hevea brasiliensis (rubber tree)
Lineage: Eukaryota; Viridiplantae; Streptophyta; Magnoliopsida; Malpighiales; Euphorbiaceae
Source: RNAcentral